This 373-nucleotide unclassified non-coding RNA is filed under the name soil metagenome. Its description in RNAcentral is "partial contains 5.8S ribosomal RNA, internal transcribed spacer 2, and large subunit ribosomal RNA". The stretch from base 1 to 121 matches the Rfam family "5.8S ribosomal RNA", at positions 35 to 154 of the family's 154-position model. The record is from RNAcentral.
GAUGAAGAACGUAGCGAAAUGCGAUAAGUAAUGCGAAUUGCAGAAUUCCAGUGAGUCAUCGAAUCUUUGAACGCACAUUGCGCCCUUUGGUAUUCCGAAGGGCAUGCCUGUUCGAGCGUCAUUAUCACCCCUCAAGCCCUCGGCUUGGUGUUGGACGGUUUGGUGGAGGCCCCCUCGGGGGUUCCUGCCCCUCCCAAAGACAAUGACGGCGGCCUCGUUGGACCCCCGGUACACUGAGUUCUUCACGGGACACGUAUCGGACACAUGGGUUUACGGGACACGGUCUGCCUCCCCUCAGGGAGAAUCUUUCUAAGGUUGACCUCGGAUCAGAUAGGGAUACCCGCUGAACUUAAGCAUAUCAAUAAGCGGAGGA